ACUCCUACGGGAGGCAGCAGGCGCGAAAACUUUACAAUGCUGGCAACAGCGAUAAGGGAACCUCGAGUGCCAGGUUACAAAUCUGGCUGUCGAGAUGCCUAAAAAGCAUUUCAUAGCAAGGGCCGGGCAAGACCGGUGCCAGCCGCCGCGGUAACACCGGCGGCUCGAGUGGUAACCGUUAUUAUUGGGUCUAAAGGGUCUGUAGCCGGCCGGAUAAGUCUCUUGAGAAAUCUGGCAGCUUAACUGUCAGGCUUUCAGGAGAUACUGUCUGGCUCGAGGCCGGGAGAGGUGAGAGGUACUUCAGGGGUAGGGGUGAAAUCUUGUAAUCCUUGAAGGACCACCAGUGGCGAAGGCGUCUCACCAGAACGGACCUGACGGCAAGGGACGAAAGCUAGGGGCACGAACCGGAUUAGAUACCCGGGUAGUCCUAGCCGUAAACGAUACUCGCUAGGUGUCGGCCACGGUGCGACCGUUGUCGGUGCCGUAGGGAAGCCGUGAAGCGAGCCACCUGGGAAGUACGGCCGCAAGGCUGAAACUCAAAGGAAUUGACGG
Molecule: ribosomal RNA, 552 nt
Filed under: uncultured bacterium
Lineage: Bacteria
Description: bacterial SSU rRNA
Rfam family: Archaeal small subunit ribosomal RNA
Source: RNAcentral